Long non-coding RNA from Puma concolor (puma), 181 nucleotides. RefSeq lists it as uncharacterized. Lineage: Eukaryota; Metazoa; Chordata; Mammalia; Carnivora; Felidae. The record is from RefSeq and is a predicted model, not a curated record.
GAAAAGAAAAUACUUCCGCUCAGAUGGGCGGAGCUAGGGAGCCGAGGUGGAAGUGGCUGUAAUCAGGUUUGUCAUUACAAACAACGUCGGUAUGAACCUUCUUAGAAUGCACGGAUUCAGUUACCAGAAUAUGCUUGCUAAAUAUUAUACCAACUUCAGGGACAAAGAGAGUGAUCACAGA